Molecule: ribosomal RNA, 400 nt
Filed under: Shewanella sp.
Lineage: Bacteria; Pseudomonadati; Pseudomonadota; Gammaproteobacteria; Alteromonadales; Shewanellaceae
Description: bacterial SSU rRNA
Rfam family: Bacterial small subunit ribosomal RNA
Source: RNAcentral
CUCGCAGAAGAAGCACCGGCUAACUUCGUGCCAGCAGCCGCGGUAAUACGAGGGGUGCAAGCGUUAAUCGGAAUUACUGGGCGUAAAGCGUACGCAGGCGGUUUGUUAAGCAAGAUGUGAAAGCCCCGGGCUCAACCUGGGAACAGCAUUUUGAACUGGCAAGCUAGAGUCUUGUAGAGGGGGGUAGAAUUUCAGGUGUAGCGGUGAAAUGCGUAGAGAUCUGAAGGAAUACCGGUGGCGAAGGCGGCCCCCUGGACAAAGACUGACGCUCAGGUACGAAAGCGUGGGGAGCAAACAGGAUUAGAUACCCUGGUAGUCCACGCCGUAAACGAUGUCUACUCGGAAUUUGGUGUCUUGAACACUGGGUUCUCAAGCUAACGCAUUAAGUAGACCGCCUGGG